This 889-nucleotide ribosomal RNA is filed under the name Diplodia corticola. Its description in RNAcentral is "LSU rRNA". It matches the Rfam family "Eukaryotic large subunit ribosomal RNA", at positions 37 to 944 of the family's 3401-position model. The record is from RNAcentral. Lineage: Eukaryota; Fungi; Ascomycota; Dothideomycetes; Botryosphaeriales; Botryosphaeriaceae.
AGCAUAUCAAUAAGCGGAGGAAAAGAAACCAACAGGGAUUGCCUUAGUAACGGCGAGUGAAGCGGCAACAGCUCAAAUUUGAAAGCUGGCCCUUUCAGGGUCCGCGUUGUAAUUUGUAGAGGAUGAUUCGGCGAGGGCUCCCGCCUAAGUCCCCUGGAACGGGGCGUCAUAGAGGGUGAGAAUCCCGUAUGCGGUGGGCUGCCUUAGCCAUGUGAAUCUCCUUCGACGAGUCGAGUUGUUUGGGAAUGCAGCUCUAAAUGGGAGGUAAAUUUCUUCUAAAGCUAAAUACCGGCCAGAGACCGAUAGCGCACAAGUAGAGUGAUCGAAAGAUGAAAAGCACUUUGGAAAGAGAGUUAAAAAGUACGUGAAAUUGUUGAAAGGGAAGCGCUUGCAACCAGACUUGUCCGCAGUUGCUCAGCCGGUCUCCUGACCGGCGUACUCUUCUGCGGCCAGGCCAGCAUCAGUUCGGGCGGUCGGAUAAAGACCUCGGGAAUGUGGCUCCUCUCGGGGAGUGUUAUAGCCCGGGGUGGAAUGCGGCCAGCCUGGACUGAGGAUCUCGCUUCGGCAAGGAUGCUGGCGUAAUGGUUGUAAGCGGCCCGUCUUGAAACACGGACCAAGGAGUCUAACAUCUAUGCGAGUGUUUGGGUGUCAAACCCAUACGCGUAAUGAAAGUGAACGGAGGUGGGAACCCGCAAGGGCGCACCAUCGGCCGAUCCUGAUGUCUUCGGAUGGAUUUGAGCAAGAGCAUAGCUGUUGGGACCCGAAAGAUGGUGAACUAUGCCUGAAUAGGGUGAAGCCAGAGGAAACUCUGGUGGAGGCUCGCAGCGGUUCUGACGUGCAAAUCGAUCGUCAAAUUUGGGUAUAGGGGCGAAAGACUAAUCGAACCAUC